RNAcentral lists this ribosomal RNA (250 nucleotides) under uncultured prokaryote. RNAcentral describes it as "partial 16S ribosomal RNA". It matches the Rfam family "Bacterial small subunit ribosomal RNA", at positions 524 to 774 of the family's 1533-position model. The record is from RNAcentral.
UACGUAGGGGGCGAGCGUUGUUCGGAAUUAUUGGGCGUAAAGGGUGUGCAGGCGGUUUAGCAAGUCUGGUGUGAAACGGUUGGGCUUAACCCAAUCUUGCGUUGGAAACUGUUGAACUAGAAUAUAAGAGAGGCUGUUGGAAUUCCUGGUGUAGGGGUGAAAUCUGUAGAUAUCAGGAGGAACAUCUAAGGCGAAGGCAGGCAGCUGGCUAUAUAUUGACGCUGAGGCACGAAGGUGCGGGGAGCAAACA